RNAcentral lists this long non-coding RNA (8643 nucleotides) under Malus domestica (apple). RNAcentral describes it as "long non-coding RNA (MDOM_LNC020047)". The record is from RNAcentral. Lineage: Eukaryota; Viridiplantae; Streptophyta; Magnoliopsida; Rosales; Rosaceae.
AAAUGAGUGGCUUUGUGUGCAUACUUCCAACAUGUGUUUUCCCUUUGCAUUUGUACACACAUGUUCUUCAUUAUUUCAGCCAAUAAUCCACCCAUUUUCUACCCAUCCCAAGCCCUCCAUGCUGUGCAGUUUGCAUGUGUGUAGCUGUCCAUGUUUCUCUUUUGCAUGUGCCAUGCCUUCUCUUUCUAGCUGUGCAUUUCCACUUGCUCCAAAGCCAAAUGAGUGCAAUCAUAACCCCAUUUUCCGCUGAGUGUUGAUGACAAAGCAAAACACCAAACAAAUGCCUUUACUUUCUCAUUUUAUUAGCCAAAUCUGCUUAGCCCUUUUCUGAACCUUUCAGUGUUACAAUGCCCAUAACUUCUUCUAGCAAAAUGAUAUUAACAAUCCGUGAAUUUCUCCAGAGAAUAGACAUCCGUAGCUUUCCAAGCAUAUAAGGCUCAUUUUCUCAUUCAUUCUAAGCUGUUCGUAACAUGCUUCCAAAGUCAGCUAAUCUGCACAGGCAGUUUUGACGAAUUUGUUACUUAAUAUCUCACUUGUGCUACUUUUCUUUUCUUUGCUUGAUAAAUCACACAAAACACAAAAACAUAGCAAAUAGCUCAAAAAUAUAAGGAACUAACUAAGAAAAGACAAGUAUUUUAUGUAAAAUAUAUAUAAAUAUGAGCUUAUCAAUUACAUCUACUCAUUACCACAACACUCACCGACUACACCCAUUACAUCCACUCAUUACAACUCCAUACACUCCUCUCCCUAGCCUAUAAAUACAUCAACCCUUCAUCAUAACUUGGGGGCCAUCAUCCAAAGACACCACAUCAUCUACACAACUCUUCACCUUUCACCAUAACUCACCUAUAUCCAUCCACCACUACAAGAGACCAUCCAUUCACCACUCACACCUUGGUGCCGCAUAUUUGCAAGGAAGGAGGAUUGCUUGGAGUUGUGCUAGUCAUUCAAUUUGGAUUGCUGGAGCUUUCUAGGUGUAUUCUACUUUGGUUUUCAAUGUUUAAUUUCAAUUGUUUCUGUUUAAUUGCAAGUAUGAGGAACUAAACCUCUUUUGGCUAGAGGAGAAUUCGAAACCAUGAAUAUAUUUGCAAUAUGAAUUGAUUUCUUCCAAUUGUGAUUUGAUAAGUUGUGAUUGCAAUUCAAUUAUCUAUUUUAUUUCAUAACGGAUUUGUGUAUGUUUAUUAAGGAUGCAUACUUAGUUUUCAUGCAUGAAUUUGAUGCUAGGAUAUAAAUAAGUUUCACCUAAUCGUUACAAGUUUAUAUUCAUGAGUAGUGAAGGUUGCUUGUCACAAUCGCGUUAAUUGAAUUCUUGGCAAACGUAUCAUGCAUUCAUAGUUACAAUUGCCUCGUCAACGCUUAUGAUUUUCAUGGAACUUAAUGAUCUUUAAUUGUAUCUCUAUUAUGCAUUCAUAUAGGGGACUUUUAGAGAAUGAUUUGGGUUAUCGCAUGCAUUCAUCCAAUACAAUGAGUAAAGGAAAAUCUGAGGGUUAAUUUGUGCAUCACGGUUAAUCUGGGGUGUUAAGCAUCAUAGUUUAUUGAAAAGCAAUUGGAGAUUGAUUUGUAUGCAAGUGUGUCAUGUGUGGAGAAAGACCUUCUAGCUAGCCCAUCAUCCAUCCAAAACAACCAAUUUCGUGCAAAUCUGUUUAGUUCUAGUUUUUGUUUUGUUUUACUUUAUUUUCGUCCAAAACCCAAUCCCCCUUUGCUUUAGUGUAUCUAAUUAGUUAGAAUCUGUUUUAGUUUGUGUUUGUAAGUGUUUUGAGUCUAUAGAGUCUAGUUGAGUGUUUUUAAGUUUCUUUUAGUAAGUCAGUUUAGUUUAGAUAAGCAAUCCCUCCUAAUCCCCGGUCAAGAAUGAUCCCUACUUAUACAUAUACCACAAUUGUCAAAAAGAGGGUUUAAUUUGAGUGCUUAACUUUAAUCGCAUCAAAUUUUGGCGCCGUUGCCGGGAUUAGCAACUUUGCAAAAUCCCCCGUUGUUUCUUUUUCAUGUCUUUUGUUUUAGUUACUGACUUUGUUUCUGUUUGUGUCUUUUAUUUUUACUUGUGAUAUUUGAUUUAGUUUUGUUUCCUUGAUUUUAGGGACUAGAGAAGUAGUUCUUUUUCAUGUUUUUGUUUUAGUUACUGACUUUGUUUUUGUUUGUGUCUUUUAUUUUUACUUGUGAUAUUUGAUUUAGUUUUAUUUCCUUGAUUUUAGGGACUAGAGAAGUAGUUCUUUUUUCAUGUUUUUUGUUUUAGUUACUGACUUUGUUUCUGUUUGUGUCUUUUAUUUUUACUUGUGAUAUUUGAUUUAGUUUUGUUUCCUUGAUUUUAGGGACUAGAGAAGUAAGACAUGGAUUUUGCUACCAUUCAAGCUCAAUUAGCGAAACUUACUUCUCAAUUGUCACAAUAUGCCGAAAGGACCACAAUGCAAAAGUGUCCCUACAUGUGGUGUGUCCUAUGGGCAAGGAUAUCCAACUUAUCAAUGUCCUCAAUUCAUUGCGAAUGAAGAUGCUUGGGGUUAUCAAAGCCAUAGUCAAUCAUGGGACAACAUGUUUUCCGACGCUUACAAUUCGGAUUGGAGAGAUUAUUCAGAUUACAUGUGUGGAGAACCGCAACAAUUCCAACAAGAUGGAUAUUGGCAGCAAGAAGAGAAGUUCUAUCACUGGCCAUAUGAACCAUCACAGCCACCACAACAAUCUGCCCAAUUCAAUUCAGGUACAUCUUUAGAUAAUGAUAUGUUUAAUAAGUUACUCACCUCUUUGAACCAGGAUGUAGAAAACCGAAACAAAGAGGUGUAAAAUCAAUCCAAGUAGACGGGCGAAUUGGAAAAGCAAUUUGGGCAGAUUAUGGAGUUCACGGCACAAAUUCAAGAGCAAAGUGAAUUCUCCAACUCAACUGUUGAAAAUUUGAAGGAAGAUUUUGAAAUCCAUGAUGGUAUCAUUUGGGAAGUGCUAUGGAGGUUGGAGGUGAAUCCAAGAUAUCCAAACCAAGCCAAAACAUGGAUGAACAGCUGCUGCUCGAAGAGGAGGAGAGUAACAAGGCCACAGCAAGGAGAGAACCACCCUUGCCGCAACCCCAUAUGCCUUCUAUGCCGUCCACUACAACCAAGGUAAGCCUAAAUUCAAUUCAUCCUGACCCCGUUUCACCAAAUGUCCUUAUUCCUUGCAGGAUCAUGCAAUCCAAGGAAGAAGAGGGUGAGCAAGGCAUCUUCGGAACCUUUCCAAAGAGUCAAGAGCAAGAAGUGGAUGGGGAAUGUCUACAAUUCAUCAAAGAAGAUACCCUUGAGACGAAAACUCCCAAAGAAGUUGGAUUUUAUGACACGGGAAAAGUCAUAACUCUCAAAACACCAAAUCUGGCCAAGUCCCAUAUCCCUGCAACCUUCAAAGAUGUGGUGUUCGUAAUUGAGUUUGUGUUGGAGCAAGCAAGUAAGCCAUCUUCUCCAACUUCGAUUUUAUUAUAUACUAACUUGCUGAUUUUGAUGAUUCAGGCACCUACACUAGAAUUUAAACCAUUGCCGAAUCACGUCAAAUAUCACCUUCCAAUCAAGGAUCAAUUCCAUGCCGUGGGCCCUGUACAAGCUUAAAUAGAGGUAUCGUCUGGCUGGAAGACGUUAAAGCAAGCGCUUCUUGAGAGGCAACCUAUGUAUUCAAAUAAGGAAGAUUUUUGGAUUGCUCCACAAUCAGUUUUGCGUUUCUAAAAACCUUCCCUUUUCUGUAGUUUUAUUUUGCCAUGAUUGUCAUUUUUAUUUGUUGCUUGUUUAAUUGUUUUUGGUGUGGGUUUAUUUUUGAAACACUGACAGUUAUGCAAGGUAUUUUUACAUUCAUAAAAAAGAAAGGAACAUUAAGCAGAUAAAUACAAGAGGAAGCCUUCACAAAGGUUGCUUAGAAGAAGUCUCAGUAGUCGGUGGAGCCUCAGCAGUCGGCGGAGCCCCAGAAGGAGGAGGCAUCGAAGGUUGAUCAUUUGGAGCUUCAUUACGCGGUACAACCCCAGAAGACGAAGGCAAAUGCUAUUGGAACAAACCCACAAACCUCUGAUGAUCAAGUAAAAUCUGACCAUCAGAUUCCUACAUCUGGUCAAUCUUCCUCUUCAUGUUUGUAGCAUUAUUAUGUGCGAGCCUGUGCAACUGUUUAUUCUCAUGCUUAAGCCCUCUAGUCUCCUGCUUGAGACUCAUCACUUCAGCCGCCAAUGAUUCAACUUGACGGGUUUGGGCAAAUAGGCGUUGGGCCAUAUUAGACACGGAACCUGCGCACUGCACACUGAGAGCCAGAUAAUCCUUAACAGCCAACUCAUCAGACCGUUUGGCAAGUAGCCUGUUAUCUUUGGGAAUGACAAGGUUCCUGGCCACCACCGCAGCUGUCAUAUCAUUCUUCAUCACCGAAUCCCCAACGGUAAGGGGACCAGUAGGGGAUUCGAAUGAUGGGUGCCAUAUGUUGUCUGAAGAAGGCGGGACUGCCUCUUCACCAAGGUUUAAGUCAAAACGACGGUCGGAGGGGCCAGACAUUUUCAGAGGUGUUAAAGAAAGAAGAGGUCGGACAAGUCAAGAUUGUAGAAAUGCAAGAAGGGAGUUUUUACAGGCAGAAAUUCAAGUGUGCUUUGAACGUCUUGCGUACCUCUGUAAAAAUCAGCACUCGAUGGGAUUUCAGAGAUCGAAGAGGCGAGCUCAAAAAUCGAAGAGGCCAACUCAAAAAUCAAAGAAGCGCUAGCUUUCUCAAAAGCUGGGCUUGCUCAGAAACCACGACCAAUCUUCUUUUCCAGAUUUGUCCGCACUUGUCACAUGCAACCUCUGCACUCGACGGGAUUUCAGAUAUCGAAAAGGCAAGCUCAGAAAUCGAAAAGGCAUAUGCUUUUCCAGACAUGUCAGAAUCUGUCACAUGCAGAGUCAGCUUUGUGGAAAUCACGGGCAGUUUGUCGAAGCACCGAUUUCAGAUAUCGAAGAGGCAUCUGCUUUUCCAGACGUGUCAGCAUCUGUCACAUGUAGAGUCAGCUUUGCGGAAAUCACGGGUAGUUUAUCGAAGUGGUUUUCGAGACGUGUCAGCAUCUGUCACAUGCAGAGUCAGCUUUGCAGAAAUCACGUGCAGUUUGUCGAAGCGCCGAUUCUAGAUAUCGAAGAGGCACUUGUUUUCCAGACGUGUCAGCGCCUGUCACAUGCACUCAGCCUUGCGAAAAUUAUGGGCAAUCUGUCGAAGAUCUCUUGUGAAGUUGAAAGCACGUGAAGUUUACUAUUAAAUCAUCCAACGGUUGCUGACAAGAGUGAAAGAAUAGUACCGGUUAUUAAUUCCUAUAAAUGUCACCCAUCACCCUCCAUUGCAAGGCAGACAUACAUAACCUUUCUUCUUCUUCGAGAAUGCCUUUCCAACAAACCCUCUCGAGUCACUCAGUGUUCCUUAUUCCUUGGGGUACCUCUACAAACAACUCAUCCAAAGAAAAAGUAUUUCAUAUCAUGAAGGUUGAAAGCAAGAGUAUCUCAUAUCAUGCUUUCUCCCACUUGGUAUCAAUCUUCCGAUCUAGAACCGAUUGCCUAGAACCCCUUCCUGAUUGCUUACCUAGCCUUGCUCUCGAGUACUCAUCUUUAUCAUUUUAUGCUUCCUCUUCGUCUACCACAUCUGACUGGGGAACAGAUAAGAGAAGUGAAAAUGAUACCUCGAAGCAUGUGGAGACAAUUUGCCAAUUCAUCCUCAGCUACGGACACAGAGAAAGAAAGCAAGAGGUGGGCACUUGGAAAGAUUGAAGAAAGAAACAAACUAACACCUCUACCUCGUGCCUGCCUGCCGUGCAGAAGAAACAAGCAGAGAAGAAUGCAGACUGCACAAUCAAAUCAACCCAGCAAAAGGAGUCUGAUUUGAAACCAAGGAACUCUAAUAUUCCUCGCUCAGAAUUCCAAAACUAGUUUGAGAUCAAAGCUGUGGAAAGUCAACAAGAUCAUCUAUCUCCAAAACCAGAUUUGCGUUCUUAAACUCUACUCUGUCUGUUUUUUUUUUUUUUUGCUAUACUUGUCAUGUUUAUUCGUUGUUUGUUUAUUUGCUUGUUUUUGUGUGAGUUUAUGCUUGAAACAUUGAGGACAAUGUUUGAUUUAAGUGUGGGGGGGGGGGGGGUAACCAUUGUUUUGCAUGAAAUUCGUAGGAGUUUAUCACCCAUUACUUCUAAUGUUGUUCCUUGCUGUUUUAAGUGUUUUUAAGCUGUUUUGGAGUUGUUUUACAUGAAAUUUGUAGGAGUUUAUCACCCAUUACUUCUAGUGUUGUUCCUUGCUGUUUUAAGUGUUUUUAAGCUGUUUUGGAGUGUUUCAGUGUGUUUUGACAUAAAAAUCCGAAAAUCUCAUAAAAAUUUGAAAAAUUGUUUUGAAAAACCCAAAAAGAGUUGUUUUUGUAUGUUUAUUUGUGUCUUAGGGUACCUUCCAACACAAUGAUGAGGAUUUGGUUUUUAAUUACAUGACUGUUAAAGAGAGUUAUAAACAUGGAUGAAAAUUUGAUUUACUCUUUGGUGUAUGCUUGGUUGUGGUUAUAAUUUAUGAAUUCACAUGCAAUCAUAAAGGAAAAAUCAAUUUUUGUAACAUGCUUGAAGGAAGGAACUCAAAUGAACGCUACAACCUUGUGAGACUUGAGCCUAAACGUUUAUUUGGAGAGUUAAUAAUCUGUGCACUAUUGUUUUCUAAAGUCGUUGCAUGAUCUCAUUAUUCUUUGCUUGGUUGCUACUUAGAAGGCGUUUCAUCAUUUAGUUCCAAAUGCUAGAACUCAUGCCUAUUUCAUUCAAAGCAUGCUAUUGAUUUGCAUAACACAUAUUCAAGAUGAAGUUGUGUAGUGACCACCACAAGCCAAAUUGCCGUGCCCUAUUUCAUUAUGUGUUUAAGUUUAACCCCGUUGAGCCUUUUUUAGCCUAUGUUCUUUGUUAACCCACACUAUCCUCACCUAGCCUAGAUUAGGACCAUCCAUACCCUUGUUCUUGAAGCAUAGUAAAACAUAAUUUAGAAGGAAUUCCUUUUGUUGAACUUUUGCAGAAAAUGUGUGUGUGUGUGUGUGUGCGCCAAAGUCCUUAAUAAGGCACAGGUAGAAAAGAAAAGGAAAAAAAGAAACAUUCGUGGAAAAUAGAAUGAAAAGAAGAAAAGUUGUGAAAAAAGAGUGAAAAAAGAGUAAAAAAUAUGUGAAAAAAGAACUCUAAAGUGUUGUUUGUUGAAGAAAGGGUCCAAAACAUUAAAUUCGGCACUAAGUGUUGCUUGAAUCUUCCCUUUGUGUUUAAAAGUUAAUUUCUGCAUUAUUAAAGUGAAUUCCAAGUGUCUAUUUCAUUACUUUGCUUGCUAUUGCUUUCAAGAACGUUUGUUAUCCUUAUCCUUUCUUUGUUAGCCAUUACCCUUAAACCCCGUUACAACCCUUAACUUCAAUCUUGAGUGUUAUGUGUUUCAAUAUUGUGGAGUUUGGAAUUGGUUUUGAGCAUAUGGUGUCACUGGUUCUUGCAUCUAAGUAGUAGCAUUCCAUUCAUGAGAUCAUAUCUAAACAUGCUUAAUAACUCCAGAAAAUUGCUUUCUUUGUUAUAACAUAUAUGUGAGUGUUCGUUUUCAUGUUUACAUCAAUCUUCUCACAUAUAACUAGUGUAGGGUGUGUAGUCAGAAAAUGUGUGUGAAAAUAGAGAGUAUCUUGUAAGGAAUUGAGUAAAUUCUCUAAGGCAUGUUACUACAUUCAAAACAUGUUUUAAUUGGUUAAUUGUGAACUAGUAAGUGGUGACUGUGAUUAAGUAUGUGCUCAAGUGUAAGGAUGACCAAAAUUUGUGGGAAUGAUGAUUUUUAACAUGUCAUGUUUCAUUAAAAAUCCCUGAGGCAAUUGUUGGAAGGUCUAGGUUGUGUUUUGUUUUGUUUUGUUUUGUUUGUUUUGUUUUGCUCGAGGACUAGCAAAAGCUAAGUGUGGGGGAAUUUGAUAGGAGCAUAUUUAUGCGACUUAGUUAGCUUGUUUCUUGGCAUUUAUGUUGUUAGUUCGUAGUUAUUUUAGUAUUUUAAUCUAUUUUCGUGUGGUUGUAGGUCCAAAGGGUUAAUGUGGCAAAGAAGUGCAUUUUGGAGCAUUUUGGAGCAUUUUUAGGCAUGGAAUGGAUGGCAUAUGCUUGGAGCAAAAGGAAUGGAUGAAAUUUGAAGUUUGUGCAUCAUCCUCUUCCCAUAAAUAACCAUUUUAGCACACUCAUUUCACCCAACACAUCCACUACACCCAUUACAUCCACCCACUACACCUAUUACAUCCACUCAUUACCAAACAUCCACCCACUACACCCAUUACAUCCACUCAUUACCACAACAAUCACCCAUUACACCCAUUACAUCCACUCAUUACAACUUCAUACACUCCUCUCCCUAGCCUAUAAAUACAUCCACCCUUCACCCUAAUUUGGGGGCCAUCAUCCAAAGACACCACAUCAUCUACACAACUCUCCACCCUUCAACAUAACUCACCUAUAUCCUUCCACCACUACAAGAGACCAUCCAUUCACCACUCACACCUUGGUGCCGCAUAUUUGCAAGGAAGGAGGAUUGCUUGGAGUUGUGCUAGUCAUUCAAUUUGGAUUGCUGGAGCAUUCUAGGGGUAUUCUACUUUGGUUUUCAAUGUUUAAUUUCAAUUGUUUAUGUUUAAUUGCAAGUAUGAGGAACUAAACCUCUUUUGGCUAGAGGAGAAUUCGAAACCAUGAAUAUAUUUGCA